Molecule: ribosomal RNA, 414 nt
Filed under: uncultured microorganism
Description: bacterial SSU rRNA
Rfam family: Bacterial small subunit ribosomal RNA
Source: RNAcentral
GAGUUUAAUCAUGGCUCAGGAUGAACGCUGGCGGCAUGCCUAACACAUGCAAGUCGAACGGGGUUUAUAUAACAGAACUCUCCGGAGGGAAGAUAUAUAAACCUAGUGGCGGACGGGUGAGUAACGCGUGGGCAACCUGCCCUGUACCCGGGGACAACAGCCGAGAAAUGGCUGCUAAUACCGCAUAAGCCUGCUGUGCCGCAUGGCACAGCAGGGAAAAACCCACGGUGGUACAGGAUGGGCCCGCGUCUGAUUAGUUAGUUGGCAGGGUAACGGCGUUACCAAGACAACGAUCAGUAGCCGGCUUGAGAGAGUGGACGGCCGACAUUGGGACUGAGACACGGCCCAGACUCCUGCGGGGGCAGCAGUGGGGAAUAUUGCACAAUGGGGGACCCUGAUGCAGCAAUGCCGCGU